RNAcentral lists this long non-coding RNA (1287 nucleotides) under Capsicum annuum. RNAcentral's name for it is "long non-coding RNA (CANN_LNC006494)". The record is from RNAcentral. Lineage: Eukaryota; Viridiplantae; Streptophyta; Magnoliopsida; Solanales; Solanaceae.
CACGAAAAAUUUUCAGCAAAGUGAAACAAAUCAAAAUUUAAAGCAUUUCAAAGGUAUUUGUACAUAAAUAGAGGCUUAAUUUGUGUAAAUCCUGCUUUUAGUUAUCCGCACCAUUGAGAAGAUUAAUGGAAUUAAUUGUUGGAUAUUGAGGAAGAGCGAUUUUCAUUCAAUCUUGAAAUUACUUGCUAUGGUAAUUUCACUUCUCAUUGCUUUUAUGUUUUCAUUUGAAAUCAUGUCUUGCAGAAAUUUUUGGUGAAAAGAUUACUUUUAAUUAUCCGUACCAUUGAGAAGAUUAAUGGAAUUAAUUGUUGGAUAUUGAGGAAGAGCGAUUUUCAUCCAAUCUUGAAAUUACUUGCUAUGGUAAUUUCACUUUUCAUUGCUUUUAUGUUUUUGUUUGAAAUCGUGUCUUGCAGAAAUUUUUGGUGAAAAGAUUACUUCUUUUUUUUAAUCUAGGUGUGAUUAAAUUAGCUAAUAUUGAAUUGGGCUUUUUUGGAAGAAUUUUAAGUGAAAAUAAAGGAAUUUUUCAUGGGGAUGCUGACGUGGACUGUUUAAGUGGUGUUUUUUGUCCACGUGGCAUGCUUGGUGUCAUUCCGUUAGAUAGAGAGUAUUUUUAAGCCAAAAAUUUAGCGAAGAGAUAUUUUUUAUCCAAAAACUAACAAAGAGUAUUUUUGCUCCAUUUCAAAUAGUCCAGGGGUAUUUUUAACCCUUUUCCAUAAUUUUUUUUCUUUCUCCAAUAUAUUAGCACUAGGAAAACGUAUAUAUAUUACUUCCUCUAUUUCAAAAAGAAUGACAUACUUUCCUUUUUAGUCCAUUUCAAAAUAAUGACCUCUUUUCUUUUUUGAUAAUACUUGAAUUUCAACUUUGUACAUGACAUUUUUAGAAUCACAAGAUUAAAAGACAUUUUGAUACAUUUGACACAACUUUAAUUUAAGGCCGCAAGAUUCAAAAGUCUUUUUUAUUUUUUAAAAUUUUGUGUCAAGUCAAAGUAGGUCAUUCUUUCCGAAACAGAGAGAAUAUUCAUAUAUAUGUAUGCGUUGAUGGUUCAAGAGAUCUAAUAAUUAUAUACAUAUAUAUAUAUAUAUUUAAUCUUUGUAGAGAAAACCUUUAUUUUCUCCCGAUUGUAUGUAGUUAGCCUCAUCCUAUGCUAGACUGGCGAGUUUAUUAUUUUCACGACUUUUUCUUUUUUAAGCGAGGUAGAGAUAAAUCGAAGAAAUAUUGGAGGAAGGUGAUUAGACAUAUGACAUGAAGCAACUUCAACUUAUCGAGGAUAUGAUCCUAAAUAGGACG